GGGAGUAAUACUGUGUGCACUGUUUAAUGGAUACUAUUCAGGAAAGAAAAAUCAAUACUGGGAAAUCACAAGUGAAGAAGUGAAAGGGAUUGCGGCUGGCGUUUCAGCAGCAGUGGCAGCGCGCGGCGGGAGUCCCCCUCCCCCUCCCGAUACCCGGGGCUGCGCUGUGGGAAGGCCGAACCCCUGGGAGAGCGGGGCGCAGUGCUGUUCUUUCUUUGGGGGUCUCUGCAGACACCCACCCUGAAACCUUCACCCGCGCGCCACAGCACUGUGCGGCCUGUUACAGUACCGUCGGGUUUGGACAUUACCACGUCCACGGUCUUCCACUGCACCUA
RNAcentral lists this long non-coding RNA (335 nucleotides) under Lepisosteus oculatus (spotted gar). Its description in RNAcentral is "lncRNA (ENSLOCG00000023215.1)". Lineage: Eukaryota; Metazoa; Chordata; Actinopteri; Semionotiformes; Lepisosteidae. The record is from RNAcentral.